UGCAAGUCGAACGCUUUGUCUUUAACUGAUAUGACGAGCUUGCUCUGAUUUGAUUUUAUCUGACAAAGAGUGGCGAACGGGUGAGUAACACGUGGGUAACCUACCUCUUAGCAGGGGAUAACAUUUGGAAACAAGUGCUAAUACCGUAUAAUACCAACAACCGCAUGGUUGUUGGUUGAAAGAUGGUUCUGCUAUCACUAAGAGAUGGACCCGCGGUGCAUUAGCUAGUUGGUAAGGUAACGGCUUACCAAGGCAAUGAUGCAUAGCCGAGUUGAGAGACUGAUCGGCCACAAUGGGACUGAGACACGGCCCAUACUCCUACGGGAGGCAGCAGUAGGGAAUCUUCCACAAUGGGCGCAAGCCUGAUGGAGCAACGCCGCGUGUGUGAUGAAGGGUUUCGGCUCGUAAAACACUGUUAUAAGAGAAGAACGGCACUGAGAGUAACUGUUCAGUGUGUGACGGUAUCUUACCAGAAAGGAACGGCUAAAUACGUGCCAGCAGCCGCGGUAAUACGUAUGUUCCAAGCGUUAUCCGGAUUUAUUGGGCGUAAAGCGAGCGCAGACGGUUAUUUAAGUCUGAAGUGAAAGCCCUCAGCUCAACUGAGGAAUGGCUUUGGAAACUGGAUGACUUGAGUGCAGUAGAGGAAAGUGGAACUCCAUGUGUAGCGGUGAAAUGCGUAGAUAUAUGGAAGAACACCAGUGGCGAAGGCGGCUUUCUGGACUGUAACUGACGUUGAGGCUCGAAAGUGUGGGUAGCAAACAGGAUUAGAUACCCUGGUAGUCCACACCGUAAACGAUGAGUGCUAGAUGUUCGAGGGUUUCCGCCCUUGAGUGUCGCAGCUAACGCAUUAAGCACUCCGCCUGGGGAGUACGACCGCAAGGUUGAAACUCAAAGAAAUUGACGG
This 904-nucleotide ribosomal RNA is filed under the name Weissella paramesenteroides. RNAcentral's name for it is "bacterial SSU rRNA". It matches the Rfam family "Bacterial small subunit ribosomal RNA", at positions 56 to 916 of the family's 1533-position model. Lineage: Bacteria; Bacillati; Bacillota; Bacilli; Lactobacillales; Lactobacillaceae. The record is from RNAcentral.